UUGUUUAUCAAAAACAUUGUCACUUGUAAAUCUUAUAAAUGAUAAAUCCUGCCCAGUGAGAUAUUAAACGGCCGCGGUACCCUGACCGUGCUAAGGUAGCAUAAUCAUUUGCCUAUUAAUUGUAGGCUAGUAUAAAUGGACAAACGAAGUUUCAACUGUUCCCCUUAAGUAAAUAAAAUCUAAUCCCUAAGUGAAGAAGCUUAGAUACCCCCGCAGGACAAGAAGACCCUAUAGAGCUUUACCAAAAAUUUACACAAAAAGUAAAAUACGGUUCGGUUGGGGCGACCCGGGAAACCUAAAACCUCCCUAAUUAUUAAAACUAACCAGUUAACACCCUAAGAUCCUAACCAAAGAUCUCAGAAACCAGCUACCUUAGGGAUAACAGGCUAAUUUUCCUAGAGAGCCCAUAUUAACAGGAAAGAUUGGCACCUCGAUGUUGGCUUAGGGCCUCUUUAUGAUGCAGCAGUCAUAAAUAGAUGGUUUGUUCAACCAUUAAACCCCUACGUGAUCUGAGUUCA
RNAcentral lists this ribosomal RNA (518 nucleotides) under Limnodriloides vespertinus. Its description in RNAcentral is "partial 16S ribosomal RNA". It matches the Rfam family "Bacterial large subunit ribosomal RNA", at positions 1800 to 2613 of the family's 2925-position model. Lineage: Eukaryota; Metazoa; Annelida; Clitellata; Tubificida; Naididae. The record is from RNAcentral.